AACUUGAGGUGGGAGACUGGAAGGAUAAUAGGAGGUAAGGGAACCUCCCCAUAGAAGAAAACUUAUACACAUAAGUUUUGCCAAAGCAAUGAUAGUUUUCUUACUGAUAUCAUGGGUGAUCACAGUUAAAGAAAAACUUGUGAUAUUUCUGUUUUUUUAAAGUAAUAUAUGUCUCUGAAAUCUUUGUCAUUUUGCGGAAACCUUGUCAUAGCAGGGAUGUUUACUA
Molecule: long non-coding RNA, 226 nt
Filed under: Homo sapiens (human)
Lineage: Eukaryota; Metazoa; Chordata; Mammalia; Primates; Hominidae
Description: long non-coding RNA NONHSAT170723
Source: RNAcentral